GGCGCACGGGUGAGUAACGCGUAUGCAAUCUACCUUUAACCGGGGAAUAGCUUCGAGAAAUCGAAAUUAAUACCCCAUAAUAUUCUGAGGAGGCAUCUCCUUGGUCUUAAAGCUCCGGCGGUUAAAGAUGAGCAUGCGUACCAUUAGCUAGUUGGUAAGGUAACGGCUUACCAAGGCUACGAUGGUUAGGGGGUCUGAGAGGAUGAUCCCCCACACUGGUACUGAGACACGGACCAGACUCCUACGGGAGGCAGCAGUGAGGAAUAUUGGUCAAUGGGUGCAAGCCUGAACCAGCCAUGCCGCGUGAAGGAUUAAGGCGCUAUGCGUUGUAAACUUCUUUUAUACGGGAAAAAACCCUUGGACGUGUCCGAGGCUGAUGGUACCGUAAGAAUAAGGAUCUAACUCCGUGCCAGCAGCCGCGGUAAUACGGAGGAUCCAAGCGUUAUCCGGAUUCACUGGGUUUAAAGGGUGUGUAGGCGGGAUAUUAAGUCAGUGGUGAAAUCCUACAGCUUAACUGUAGAACUGCCAUUGAAACUGAUGUUCUUGAAUGUGGUUGAGGUAAGCGGAAUGUGUAGUGUAGCGGUGAAAUGCUUAGAUAUUACACAGAACACCUAUUGCGAAGGCAGCUUGCUAAGCCAUGAUUGACGCUGAGACACGAAAGCGUGGGGAUCAAACAGGAUUAGAUACCCUGGUAGUCCACGCCGUAAACGAUGAUAACUAGUUGUUAGCGAUAUACAGUUAGCGACAAAGCGAAAGCAUUAAGUUAUCCACCUGGGGAGUACGAUCGCAAGAUUGAAACUCAAAGGAAUUGACGGGGGCCCGCACAAGCGGAGGAACAUGUGGUUUAAUUCGAUGAUACGCGAGGAACCUUACCUGGGCUUGAAAGUUAGUGACGGAUGCUGAAAGGUGUCUUCCCAGCAAUGGGCUCGAAACUAGGUGCUGCAUGGUUGUCGUCAGCUCGUGCCGUGAGGUGUCGGGUUAAGUCCCAUAACGAGCGCAACCCCUAUUUCUAGUUGCCAGCGCGUAAUGGCGGGGACUCUAGAGAGACUGCCGGCGUAAGCCGUGAGGAAGGUGGGGAUGACGUCAAAUCAGCACGGCCCUUAUGUCCAGGGCUACACACGUGUUACAAUGGCCAGUACAAAGAGCAGCCACUUGGCGACAAGGAGCUAAUCUCUAAAGCUGGUCCUAGUUCGGAUUGAAGUCUGCAACUCGACUUCAUGAAGCUGGAUUCGCUAGUAAUCGUAUAUCAGCAAUGAUACGGUGAAUACGUUCCCGGGCCUUGUACACACCGCCCGUCAAGCCAUGGGAGUUUGGGGUACCUGAAGUACGUAACCGCAAGGAGUGUCCUAGGGUAAAACAAAUGACUGGGGCUAAGUCGUAACAAGGUA
RNAcentral lists this ribosomal RNA (1388 nucleotides) under metagenome. RNAcentral's name for it is "bacterial SSU rRNA". It matches the Rfam family "Bacterial small subunit ribosomal RNA". The record is from RNAcentral.